GAUGAACCCAAUAAAUUUCAUUCAUUCUACAUACUCAAUCCUAUAGACACCCUUUUAAUCCUUCAAUCACAGACGUAACUCGAUUUCACAAAACAGUCAAGAGUAAUCAAACCCACUUCAUUAAAAAAUCUCGAUUCACCAUUACAACAUUGACUUCAGCAACGAUUGCCUCAAUCUUUUCAAAACUCUAUGAAGAAGAAAAAUCCAAUUCUCCGUCUUUUCUUCCCCGACCCGAAGCAUGAAGCUCCUCUCCAAUCCCCUUGAUCUUCAAAAACCUCCAAUGAAACCGAACUAGUAACCUUGCAAAGAGCUUGAAGCUA
This 320-nucleotide long non-coding RNA is filed under the name Physcomitrium patens. RNAcentral describes it as "long non-coding RNA (PPAT_LNC005795)". Lineage: Eukaryota; Viridiplantae; Streptophyta; Bryopsida; Funariales; Funariaceae. The record is from RNAcentral.